Molecule: non-coding RNA, 320 nt
Organism: Gorilla gorilla gorilla (western lowland gorilla)
Lineage: Eukaryota; Metazoa; Chordata; Mammalia; Primates; Hominidae
Source: Rfam
GCCAGGCGUGGUGGCGCAUGCCUGUAAUCUCAGCUACUUGGGAGGCCAAGAGGCUCGAGAAUUGCUUGAACCUGGGAGGUGGAGGUUGUAGUAAGAGAUCCCACUACUGCACUCCACCCUGGGCAACAGAGCAAGACUCCAUCUCAAUAAAAUAAAUAAAUAAGCUUUCCUCCAUGGUUCAGGGCAUACAAACAAGAGGAAACAGGUCAGCUAUAGGUCUGUUUGAGACAGUCUUACUCUGUUGCCCAGGCUGGAGUGCAGUAGUGGGAUCUCUUACUACAACCUCCACCUCCCGGGUUCAAGCAAUUCUCGAGCCUCUU